AGAGAAUCGCUUGAACCCAGGAGGUGGAGGUUGUAGUGAGUCAGGAUCAGCCACUGCACUCCUGCCUGGGCAACAGAG
RNAcentral lists this small nuclear RNA (78 nucleotides) under Homo sapiens (human). RNAcentral describes it as "partial ncRNA". The record is from RNAcentral. Lineage: Eukaryota; Metazoa; Chordata; Mammalia; Primates; Hominidae.